RNAcentral lists this ribosomal RNA (112 nucleotides) under Bacteroidota bacterium. Lineage: Bacteria; Pseudomonadati; Bacteroidota. The record is from RNAcentral.
UAUGGUGACUAUAUCAAGGGUGUUCACCUCUUCCCAUCUCGAACAGAGAAGUUAAGCCCCUUAGAGCCGAUGAUACUUGGGUAAAACCUGGAAAAGUAGGUCGUUGCCAAAU